RNAcentral lists this transfer RNA (72 nucleotides) under Brassica napus (rape). It matches the Rfam family "tRNA". Rfam says of the family: Transfer RNA (tRNA) molecules are approximately 80 nucleotides in length. The record is from Rfam by way of RNAcentral. Lineage: Eukaryota; Viridiplantae; Streptophyta; Magnoliopsida; Brassicales; Brassicaceae. RNAcentral also lists the same sequence under 1 other name.
UCCGUUGUCGUCCAGCGGUUAGGAUACCUGGCUUUCACCCAGGCGACCCGGGUUCGAUAUCCGGCAACGGAG